This 68-nucleotide transfer RNA is filed under the name Chrysoreinhardia sp. CCMP2950. It matches the Rfam family "tRNA". From Rfam's summary of the family: Transfer RNA (tRNA) molecules are approximately 80 nucleotides in length. The record is from RNAcentral. Lineage: Eukaryota; Pelagophyceae; Sarcinochrysidales; Chrysocystaceae.
UGGUGUGGCCUAAUGGACAAGGCGUCGCCCUCCUAAGGCGAAGAUUGCUGGUUCGAGUCCUGCCAUCA